GAUAAACGCUGGCGGCGUGCCUAACACAUGCAAGUCGAACGAUCCCGCAAGGGAGAGUGGCGGAAGGGUGAGUAACACGUGGGAAUCUACCUCCUCGCAGGGGAACAACCUCUCGAAAGAGAGGCUAAUACCCAAAGGGUCAGAAAUGAUCAGAGUCGAAAGGCGUGAGGAGAGGAGCCCGCGGCCCAUCAGCUAGUUGGUGAGGUAAUGGGCUUACCAAGGCUACGACGGGUAGGGGAUCUGAGAGGAUGUCCCCCACACUGGAACUGAAACACGGUCCAGACGCCUACGGGUGGCAGCAGUGAGGAAUAUUGGACAAUGGGCGAAAGCCCGAUCCAGCAACGCCGCGUGGAGGAUGAAGGCCUUCGGGUCGUAAACUUCUUUAGAGGGAGACGAGAAAGGACGGUAUCCCUAGAAUAAGCGACGGCAAACUACGUGCCAGCAGCCGCGGUAAU
This 455-nucleotide ribosomal RNA is filed under the name uncultured bacterium. RNAcentral describes it as "bacterial SSU rRNA". It matches the Rfam family "Bacterial small subunit ribosomal RNA", at positions 28 to 524 of the family's 1533-position model. The record is from RNAcentral.